Molecule: non-coding RNA, 175 nt
Filed under: uncultured Fusobacterium sp.
Lineage: Bacteria; Fusobacteriati; Fusobacteriota; Fusobacteriia; Fusobacteriales; Fusobacteriaceae
Description: Lysine riboswitch
Rfam family: Lysine riboswitch aptamer
About the family: Riboswitches are metabolite binding domains within certain messenger RNAs that serve as precision sensors for their corresponding targets. Allosteric rearrangement of mRNA structure is mediated by ligand binding, and this results in modulation of gene expression. This family includes riboswitches that sense lysine in a number of genes involved in lysine metabolism, including lysC.
Source: RNAcentral
AGAUUGAGGCGCAGUUGAUAAUAGUAGCUGUAUAGAGCUUCCCGGCUUUGAUAUACAGUGAAAGGAGAAACUGCCGAAGUGUAAAAUUUUAUGGGGAUAGAUUUUAUGCUGGGAAUGCAGAUAAUAUCUGUAUAACUGUCACUAGGAUUUGCAGGAGUUCUAGUGUUGUGCUUUC